This 904-nucleotide long non-coding RNA is filed under the name Takifugu rubripes (torafugu). RNAcentral describes it as "lncRNA (ENSTRUG00000030329.1)". Lineage: Eukaryota; Metazoa; Chordata; Actinopteri; Tetraodontiformes; Tetraodontidae. The record is from RNAcentral.
UUCGUUAACACUGAGAAGAAUAUUGACAAGUGUCCACUGUGAAUGUUGCUGCAGCAAAUUAACCUUCUAUUCACUUGUAAUAAAUUGAUACAUUUAAUAUAAGAUCAUUUGAUAAAUUAAAAUGUAACUUUUGCAUUAGACAAAAGCAACAUUAACACCAACAAAGGCUCCAGUCGGGCUUGAUAUCAAAUGAGAUGUUGGGAGGAGUGAUUGUUGCUCAUGUUUCCGCAUUCCCGAGUCUUUGUUCCGGCGCAGCUCGCUGAGGGCCGGCGCUGGUUCAGGUGCCACCUUCUAUAAAAGGAGCAGCAGGUGAGAGCUGCCGAUGCGGAGUUGCUGCCCAGUUCGCUGAGAGUUCAUCGCUCUCACUCUCAAAGGUUUGGACCCAUUUGAAAUCAGAACAUCUCAACUUUGUCUCCAGCUUCAGGAGCUGAAGUUCUGAGAUGUUUCGUCACGGUAAAUGAGUCAGUUAAACCCUUUUUCCUGAAAUGUAAAUCCAGUAUUUGACAUUAAAUUUGGACUUAAUUCAGGUGGGGGCUGUGGCCAAGGGGGCCACGGGGGCCACGGGUGCCACGGGGGCCACGGCCAUGGGGGCCACGGCCAUGGGGGCCACGGGGGCCACGGGUGCGGGUCUGGACCUGGACCUGGACACUGCCAUGGGGGACCCAAACGCAGGAGAAGGAACAAGAGAGGCCACAAGCACAGGAAGUGUCACAAGAAGGGGAAGGACUGUCAUGGGUCCUCCAGCAGCUCCUGCAGCAGCGACUCUGAUUAGAUGUAGAAGACUUGUAACAUCUUCUUCACAUGAAAUCCCUGGCUUUAAAUGCAAUUUUAAAUGUUAUGGUUUUCUUACCAGAAUCAGAAUUUAAAUAAAUAAAAGCACUCGGACAAAUUACCAAUAUGUUUU